GGGGACGGGGCAGAGCUACAAUGCUAGUCGAACGGUAACGGAAGCAGCUUGCUGCUUCGCUGACGAGUGGCGGACGGGUGAGUAAUGUCUGGGAAACUGCCUGAUGGAGGGGGAUAACUACUGGAAACGGUAGCUAAUACCGCAUAACGUCGCAAGACCAAAGAGGGGGACCUUCGGGCCUCUUGCCAUCGGAUGUGCCCAGAUGGGAUUAGCUUGUUGGUGGGGUAACGGCUCACCUAGGCGACGAUCCCUAGCUGGUCUGAGAGGAUGACCAGCCACACUGGAACUGAGACACGGUCCAGACUCCUACGGGAGGCAGCAGUGGGGAAUAUUGCACAAUGGGCGCAAGCCUGAUGCAGCCAUGCCGCGUGUAUGAAGAAGGCCUUCGGGGUUGUAAAGUACUUUCAGCGGGGAGGAAGGGAGUAAAGUUAAUACCUUUGCUCAUUGACGUUACCCGCAGAAGAAGCACCGGCUAACUCCGUGCCAGCAGCCGCGGUAAUACGGAGGGUGCAAGCGUUAAUCGGAAUUACUGGGCGUAAAGCGCACGCAGGCGGUUUGUUAAGUCAGAUGUGAAAUCCCCGGGCUCAACCUGGGAACUGCAUCUGAUACUGGCAAGCUUGAGUCUCGUAGAGGGGGGUAGAAUUCCAGGUGUAGCGGUGAAAUGCGUAGAGAUCUGGAGGAAUACCGGUGGCGAAGGCGGCCCCCUGGACGAAGACUGACGCUCAGGUGCUAAAGCGUGGGGAGCGGACAGGAUUAGAUACCCUGGUAGUCCACGCCGUUAACGAUGUCGACUUGGAGGUUGUGCCCUUGAGGCGUGGCUUCCGGAGCUAACGCGUUAAGUCUACCGCCUGGGGAGUACGGCCGCACGGUUAAAACUCAAAUGAAUUGACGGGGGCCCGCACAAGCGGUGGAGCAUGUGGUUUAAUUCGAUGCAACGCGAAGAACCUUACCUGGUCUUGACAUCCACAGAACUUUCCAGAGAUGGAUUGGUGCCUUCGGGAACUGUGAGACAGGUGCUGCAUGGCUGUCGUCAGCUCGUGUUGUGAAAUGUUGGGUUAAGUCCCGCAACGAGCGCAACCCUUAUCCUUUGUUGCCAGCGGUCCGGCCGGGAACUCAAAGGAGACUGCCAGUGAUAAACUGGAGGAAGGUGGGGAUGACGUCAAGUCAUCAUGGCCCUUACGACCAGGGCUACACACGUGCUACAAUGGCGCAUACAAAGAGAAGCGACCUCGCGAGAGCAAGCGGACCUCAUAAAGUGCGUCGUAGUCCGGAUUGGAGUCUGCAACUCGACUCCAUGAAGUCGGAAUCGCUAGUAAUCGUGGAUCAGAAUGCCACGGUGAAUACGUUCCCGGGCCUUGUACACACCGCCCGUCACACCAUGGGAGUGGGUUGCAAAAGAAGUAGGUAGCUUAACCUUCGGGAGGGCGCUCACCACUCUGUGUUCUAGGUCGGG
This 1453-nucleotide ribosomal RNA is filed under the name Shigella sonnei. RNAcentral's name for it is "bacterial SSU rRNA". It matches the Rfam family "Bacterial small subunit ribosomal RNA". Lineage: Bacteria; Pseudomonadati; Pseudomonadota; Gammaproteobacteria; Enterobacterales; Enterobacteriaceae. The record is from RNAcentral.